Molecule: ribosomal RNA, 764 nt
Filed under: Bacillus pumilus
Lineage: Bacteria; Bacillati; Bacillota; Bacilli; Caryophanales; Bacillaceae
Description: bacterial SSU rRNA
Rfam family: Bacterial small subunit ribosomal RNA
Source: RNAcentral
GGGUGAGUAACACGUGGGUAACCUGCCUGUAAGACUGGGAUAACUCCGGGAAACCGGAGCUAAUACCGGAUAGUUCCUUGAACCGCAUGGUUCAAGGAUGAAAGACGGUUUCGGCUGUCACUUACAGAUGGACCCGCGGCGCAUUAGCUAGUUGGUGGGGUAAUGGCUCACCAAGGCGACGAUGCGUAGCCGACCUGAGAGGGUGAUCGGCCACACUGGGACUGAGACACGGCCCAGACUCCUACGGGAGGCAGCAGUAGGGAAUCUUCCGCAAUGGACGAAAGUCUGACGGAGCAACGCCGCGUGAGUGAUGAAGGUUUUCGGAUCGUAAAGCUCUGUUGUUAGGGAAGAACAAGUGCGAGAGUAACUGCUCGCACCUUGACGGUACCUAACCAGAAAGCCACGGCUAACUACGUGCCAGCAGCCGCGGUAAUACGUAGGUGGCAAGCGUUGUCCGGAAUUAUUGGGCGUAAAGGGCUCGCAGGCGGUUUCUUAAGUCUGAUGUGAAAGCCCCCGGCUCAACCGGGGAGGGUCAUUGGAAACUGGGAAACUUGAGUGCAGAAGAGGAGAGUGGAAUUCCACGUGUAGCGGUGAAAUGCGUAGAGAUGUGGAGGAACACCAGUGGCGAAGGCGACUCUCUGGUCUGUAACUGACGCUGAGGGAGCGAAAGCGUGGGGGAGCGAACAGGAUUAGAUACCCUGGUAGUCCACGCCGUAAACGAUGAGUGCUAAGUGUUGAGGGGGUUUCCGCCCCUUUAGUGCUGC